ACACCCUACAAGAGUUGGAACCUGUUCAGUCGGUCUUUUGCAGAGAGUGAACGCUCACCUUUGAAAGGAGGUCCCCUGAGCAGGGUCAGAGUGUUGUGUUCCUGCCAGGUCCCUCUCUGCCUUGCGGAGGACUCAGAAGCCCCUCCUUUCUGUUCACACCCACGAGAGCCCCAUCUGGGUGAAGCAUCCUCCUGCUGGCAUUGCCAUGGCCACCAUGCUCCUCUGCUGUGUGGCCCUGUGUCUCCUGGGAGUAGGGCCCACAGAUGCUGGAGUCACCCAGACCCCUAGGCAUGAGUUAACAGAAAAGGGACAGGCAGUCACUCUGAGCUGUGAGCCGAUUAAAAGCCACGCUGUCCUUUAUUGGUAUAGACAGACCUCAGUGCGGGGACUGGAGUUACUGAUUUAUUUCAACAACCAAGAGCCUGUGGAUGAGUCGGGGAUGCCCAAGGACCGAUUCUCAGCUAAGAUGCCUAACGCAUCGCUCUCCACUCUGAAGAUCCAGUCCACAGAUCCUGGGGACUCGGCCACGUACCUCUGUGCCAGCAGCAAAGACACAGUGCUGCAGAAUCGCCCCUUCCUGAGCAGAAAACCUCUGCUUCCCCUUCCGGCUCACCCCCUGGCGUCAUCAGUUGUCUUCCUAGACUCCUCCCCUAGCAGUGCAGCGCCUCAGUGUUCUAAUGACCCUAGGGAAGGCAGGAACAGAAUGAAACAACCCAUCACAUUAGGAAACACGUGAGGGGAAGGCAGUAGAGAGCUUGGUUUCUGGCAUUUCUCACACAUUUCCCACAGAUGCUGACAGUCCAUUUGUUGUUGUCAUUGUUUGAUCACUCA
This is a non-coding RNA of Odocoileus virginianus texanus, 831 nucleotides long. The record is from the annotation of a RefSeq genome assembly. NCBI's taxonomy places the organism in Eukaryota, Metazoa, Chordata, Mammalia, Artiodactyla, Cervidae.